CGGUCCGUUUCCGGGGUGGAGCCAGGGAGGGCGGGAGUUUAGGCUGCACCGACCCCCCUCAGCCCCCCUCCAGGAGACGCUCGGAGCCCAGGACAUGCCGGGAUUGAGGAGAUACGAGGUGGCGCUGGAGGCGGAGGAGGAGAUCUACUGGGGCUGUUUCUACUUUUUCCCCUGGCUGCGAAUGUGGCGGAGAGAAAGAAAUGAGGGCGCUGCGGCGCUGCGGCCCCUCCUGAGUCCCAAAGGUCUGCCCAUUCUCAAGGAGAGAGGAAACAGAUGCCAUCGCCGAAUGAUGAAAUGACAAGUUUCAGGAAGAUCAUGUCAAGCUAUUGUGGCCAAUUUUUUGGAAAAUAUAAUAAGCCUUGAUUGUCUUUCCUCAAUCAUGGUUCAUCCUGAGGAACUGGGCAUGUUACAUCCCUGAAUUAAAGUUAGGAUUCAUCAUAUAUUGCUGGUCAGAAUGGGAAAUGGUACAGUUACAGUGGAAAACUGUUGGUUCCUCAAAAAGUUAAACAUGGCAUUACCAUUUGACCCAGCGAUUACACUCUUAUGUAUAUUCCCAAGAGCACUGAAAACAGGAGUUCAAGCAAAACUUUGUACAUGAAUAUUCAUUUAAACAUCAUUCAUAAUAGCUUAAAAGUAGAAAUAAUUCAAGUUGCUAUCAACUCAUGAGUGGAUUAAAGAAAUGUAGUUUAUCCAUACGCUAUUUAUGUAUGGUUUUCAUGGAAGAAUAUCAUUUGGCCAUAAAAAGAAACAUAUACAGUAGGUUCCACAGCAUGGAUGAAACUUGAAUACAUUAAGCUACAGGAAAGAAGCCAGAUGCAAAAGGCCAUAAGUUAUAUGAUUCUGUCUAUGUGAAGUGUUCAGAAUAGGACAGUUCAUAGGAACAGAAAACAGUUACUGGUUCCCAGGGACUGGAAGGAAAAUAGAAUGGGAAUCGAAUGCCUAGUGACUGCAGUGUCAUCCUUGUGGGGGUGAGAUAUAAAAAUAUUCUGGAAUUAUUGGUGAUGGCUGCCCAGUGAUAUGAACAUACUAAAACCCACUGAUUUGCAUACUAUAAAAUGGUUCAAUGGUAGAUCUUUCCUCAGCUUUUUAAAAAAGGUUUCAGUUGGCUAGGAAGCAGUGAGAGAGUGACAAUUGGAAGCCAAAUUUCUGUUUUAGGAAGAAGAGGAACCCCGUUGGCCUGAAAGAGUCUUUAUUUCCCUUUACCUGCAAGGAGAACAGGAAGCAGCACCUGGCUCCUGGCUUCAGAUCGGCGUAGCUCCGGGCGUUGCGGCCAUUUGGGGACUGAACCAACGAAAGGAAGACCUUUCUCUCUGUCUCUCUCUCUGUCUGUAACUUUACCUGUCAAAUAAAUAAAUAAAAUCUUUAUUUCCCUUU
Molecule: long non-coding RNA, 1374 nt
Organism: Lepus europaeus (European hare)
Lineage: Eukaryota; Metazoa; Chordata; Mammalia; Lagomorpha; Leporidae
Exons: 3
Source: RefSeq, a predicted model, not a curated record